AUGAUGGCCAGGCUGUCUCCACCCGAGACUCAGUGAAAUUGAACUCGCUGUGAAGAUGCAGUGUACCCGCGGCAAGACGGAAAGACCCCGUGAACCUUUACUAUAGCUUGACACUGAACAUUGAGCCUUGAUGUGUAGGAUAGGUGGGAGGCUUUGAAGUGUGGACGCCAGUCUGCAUGGAGCCGACCUUGAAAUACCACCCUUUAAUGUUUGAUGUUCUAACGUGGACCCGUUACCCGGGUUGCGGACAGUGUCUGGUGGGUAGUUUGACUGGGGCGGUCUCCUCCUAAAGAGUAACGGAGGAGCACGAAGGUUGGCUAAUCCUGGUCGGACAUCAGGAGGUUAGUGCAAUGGCAUAAGCCAGCUUGACUGCGAGCGUGACGGCGCGAGCAGGUGCGAAAGCAGGUCAUAG
RNAcentral lists this ribosomal RNA (412 nucleotides) under Salmonella enterica subsp. enterica serovar Montevideo str. CFSAN004346. Its description in RNAcentral is "bacterial LSU rRNA". It matches the Rfam family "Bacterial large subunit ribosomal RNA", at positions 2004 to 2415 of the family's 2925-position model. The record is from RNAcentral. Lineage: Bacteria; Pseudomonadati; Pseudomonadota; Gammaproteobacteria; Enterobacterales; Enterobacteriaceae.